GUAAUAAUUGAGAUGACAUGCUGAUGGACUUUCCCACAAUCCAUUUACAUCUGCUUUCAUCUUACAUCUUUCAUGGAAUCAUCUCUCCACCCUCUUGUCUACAUCUGGUCACUUCUGGCUCCAAAGUUCCAAGAUGGCGACAGCCAAAAGCCAUAACUCCAGAUACAAUCCAUGCAGAGCUGUCGCUUGGGUAGUAACACUAAAGAUGCAAUCACGGCGGUCGGCGGGUGGAAGAUGGACGAG
Molecule: long non-coding RNA, 243 nt
Organism: Epinephelus fuscoguttatus (brown-marbled grouper)
Lineage: Eukaryota; Metazoa; Chordata; Actinopteri; Perciformes; Serranidae
Exons: 3
Source: RefSeq, a predicted model, not a curated record